Molecule: ribosomal RNA, 1343 nt
Filed under: uncultured bacterium
Lineage: Bacteria
Description: 16S ribosomal RNA
Rfam family: Bacterial small subunit ribosomal RNA
Source: RNAcentral
GACGAACGCUGGCGGCGUGCUUAACACAUGCAAGUCGAACGGAAAGGCCCUGCUUUUGUGGGGUGCUCGAGUGGCGAACGGGUGAGUAACACGUGAGUAACCUGCCCUUGACUUUGGGAUAACUUCAGGAAACUGGGGCUAAUACCGGAUAGGAGCUCCUGCUGCAUGGUGGGGGUUGGAAAGUUUCGGCGGUUGGGGAUGGACUCGCGGCUUAUCAGCUUGUUGGUGGGGUAGUGGCUUACCAAGGCUUUGACGGGUAGCCGGCCUGAGAGGGUGACCGGCCACAUUGGGACUGAGAUACGGCCCAGACUCCUACGGGAGGCAGCAGUGGGGAAUAUUGCACAAUGGGCGGAAGCCUGAUGCAGCAACGCCGCGUGCGGGAUGACGGCCUUCGGGUUGUAAACCGCUUUCGCCUGUGACGAAGCGUGAGUGACGGUAAUGGGUAAAGAAGCACCGGCUAACUACGUGCCAGCAGCCGCGGUGAUACGUAGGGUGCGAGCGUUGUCCGGAUUUAUUGGGCGUAAAGGGCUCGUAGGUGGUUGAUCGCGUCGGAAGUGUAAUCUUGGGGCUUAACCCUGAGCGUGCUUUCGAUACGGGUUGACUUGAGGAAGGUAGGGGAGAAUGGAAUUCCUGGUGGAGCGGUGGAAUGCGCAGAUAACAGGAGGAACACCAGUGGCGAAGGCGGUUCUCUGGGCCUUUCCUGACGCUGAGGAGCGAAAGCGUGGGGAGCGAACAGGCUUAGAUACCCUGGUAGUCCACGCUGUAAACGGUGGGUACUAGGUGUGGGGUCCAUUCCACGGGUUCCGUGCCGUAGCUAACGCUUUAAGUACCCCGCCUGGGGAGUACGGCCGCAAGGCUAAAACUCAAAGGAAUUGACGGGGCCCCGCACAAGCGGCGGAGCAUGCGGAUUAAUUCGAUGCAACGCGUAGAACCUUACCUGGGUUUGACAUGGAUCGGGAGUGCUCAGAGAUGGGUGUGCCUCUUUUGGGGUCGGUUCACAGGUGGUGCAUGGCUGUCGUCAGCUCGUGUCGUGAGAUGUUGGGUUAAGUCCCGCAACGAGCGCAACCCUUGUUCACUGUUGCCAGCACGUUAUGGUGGGGACUCAGUGGAGACCGCCGGGGUCAACUCGAAGGAAGGUGGGGAUGACGUCAAGUCAUCAUGCCCCUUAUGUCCAGGGCUUCACGCAUGCUACAAUGGCUGGUACAGAGAGUGGCGAGCCUGUGAGGGUGAGCGAAUCUCGGAAAGCCGGUCUCAGUUCGGAUUGGGGUCUGCAACUCGACCUCAUGAAGUCGGAGUCGCUAGUAAUCGCAGAUCAGCAACGCUGCGGUGAAUACGUUCCCGGG